Long non-coding RNA from Ictalurus punctatus (channel catfish), 1171 nucleotides. NCBI's taxonomy places the organism in Eukaryota, Metazoa, Chordata, Actinopteri, Siluriformes, Ictaluridae. The record is from Ensembl.
AGAGAGAUACAGAGAGACAGGUAGAGAGAGAGAGAGAUACAGAGAGAGACAGGUAGAGAGAGAGAGAGAGAGAUACAGAGAGGGACAGGUAGAGAGCGAGAGAGAGACAGAUACAAAGAGAGAGGUAGAGAGAGAGAGAGAGAGAGAGGGACAGGUAGAGAGAGAGAUACAGAGAGAGACAGGUAGAGAGAGAGAGAGAGAGAGAGAGAGAGAGAGAGAAAUGAGAUACAGAGAGGGACAGGUAGAGAGAGAGAGAGAAGUAGAGAGAGAGAUACAGAGAGAGACAGGUGGAGAGAGAGAGAGAGAUACAGAGAGAGACAGGUAGAGAGAGAGAGAGAGAGAAUGAGAUACAGAGAGGGACAGGUAGAGAGAGAGAGAGAGAGAGAGAGAGAGAGAGAGAGAGACAAGUAGAGAGAGAGAGAUACAGAGAGAGACCGGUGGAGAGAGAGAGAGAGAGCGAUACAGAGAGAGACAGGUAGAGAGAGAGAGAGAGAGAGAGAGAAUGAGAUACAGAGAGGGACAGGUAGAGAGAGAGAUACAGAGGGAGACAGGUAGAGAGAGAGAGAGAGAAUGAGAUACAGAGAGGGACAGGUAGAGAGAGAGAGAGAGAGAGAGAGAGAGAGACAAGUAGAGAGAGAGAGAUACAGAGAGAGACCGGUGGAGAGAGAGAGAGAGCGAUACAGAGAGGGACAGGUAGAGAGAGAGAGAGAGAUACAGAGGGAGACAGACAGAUGCAGAGAUACACAGAGAGAUGGACAGAAAGAUAGAUACAGAAAAAGAGAGGCAGGUACUGUAGAUAAAUACAGAGAGAGACCGGUAGAGAGAGAGAGAUAGAGAUAGAGAGAGAGAUACAGGUAGAGACUGAAAGACAGACGGAGGGAGAGAGACCGAGGCCGUGGAUGUCUGAAUUGUCAGUAGGUGAGAAAAGCCGGAUGGUGUACUGCUUCCGGCGGGAUUUUGCAGCGUGCAACCGACGGACACUGGACACUGCACGAGUCAAAAAUCCCACCGGUGCGGACGAGCUCAGGAAAUAAAUGUCGGAGGACAGCGUCGGCUCUUUAAGUAUUAAACCUCGGUUAAACGGGAAUUAUUUAACAAUACCCGAAUACAUCAUCGACUUAUUGAAGGGUUAAAGAAGUAAACGUUAAAAUCUUUUUUGUGAUCUCCAUCA